AGUGAACGCUGGCGGUAUGCCUAACACAUGCAAGUCGAACGGCAGCACAGUAAGAGCUUGCUCUUACGGGUGGCGAGUGGCGGACGGGUGAGGAAUACAUCGGAAUCUACUUUUUCGUGGAGGAUAACGUAGCGAAACUUACGCUAAUACCGCAUACGACCUACGGGUGAAAGCAGGGGAUCUUCGGACCUUGCGCGAUUGAAUGAGCCGAUGUCGGAUUAGCUAGUUGGCGGGGUAAAGGCCCACCAAGGCGACGAUCCGUAGCUGGUCUGAGAGGAUGAUAGGCCACAUUGGAACUGAGACACGGUCCAGACUCCUACGGGAGGCAGCAGUCUGGAAUGUUAGACAAUGGGCGCAAGCCUGAUACAGCCAUACCGCGUGUGUGACGAAGGCCUUCGGGUUGUAAAGCCGUUUUGUUGGGAAAGAACAGCUGCCGGUUAAUACCCAGCUGUAGUGACGGUACCCAAAGAAUAAGCACCGGCUAACUACGUG
RNAcentral lists this ribosomal RNA (492 nucleotides) under uncultured bacterium. Its description in RNAcentral is "partial 16S ribosomal RNA". It matches the Rfam family "Bacterial small subunit ribosomal RNA", at positions 29 to 507 of the family's 1533-position model. The record is from RNAcentral.